RNAcentral lists this ribosomal RNA (3242 nucleotides) under Clostridioides difficile. RNAcentral describes it as "bacterial SSU rRNA". The stretch from base 2 to 881 matches the Rfam family "Bacterial small subunit ribosomal RNA", at positions 9 to 873 of the family's 1533-position model. The record is from RNAcentral. Lineage: Bacteria; Bacillati; Bacillota; Clostridia; Peptostreptococcales; Peptostreptococcaceae.
AGAGUUUGAUCCUGGCUCAGGAUGAACGCUGGCGGCGUGCCUAACACAUGCAAGUUGAGCGAUUUACUUCGGUAAAGAGCGGCGGACGGGUGAGUAACGCGUGGGUAACCUACCCUGUACACACGGAUAACAUACCGAAAGGUAUGCUAAUACGGGAUAAUAUAUUUGAGAGGCAUCUCUUGAAUAUCAAAGGUGAGCCAGUACAGGAUGGACCCGCGUCUGAUUAGCUAGUUGGUAAGGUAACGGCUUACCAAGGCGACGAUCAGUAGCCGACCUGAGAGGGUGAUCGGCCACAUUGGAACUGAGACACGGUCCAAACUCCUACGGGAGGCAGCAGUGGGGAAUAUUGCACAAUGGGCGAAAGCCUGAUGCAGCAACGCCGCGUGAGUGAUGAAGGUCUUCGGGUCGUAAAACUCUGUCCUCAAGGAAGAUAAUGACGGUACUUGAGGAGGAAGCCCCGGCUAACUACGUGCCAGCAGCCGCGGUAAUACGUAGGGGGCUAGCGUUAUCCGGAUUUACUGGGCGUAAAGGGUGCGUAGGCGGUCUUUCAAGUCAGGAGUGAAAGGCUACGGCUCAACCGUAGUAAGCUCUUGAAACUGGGAGACUUGAGUGCAGGAGAGGAGAGUGGAAUUCCUAGUGUAGCGGUGAAAUGCGUAGAUAUUAGGAGGAACACCAGUUGCGAAGGCGGCUCUCUGGACUGUAACUGACGCUGAGGCACGAAAGCGUGGGGAGCAAACAGGAUUAGAUACCCUGGUAGUCCACGCUGUAAACGAUGAGUACUAGGUGUCGGGGGUUACCCCCNCUGGGCACCAAAAUGUGGCGGUAUAGCUUAGUUGGCUAGAGCGUUCGGUUCAUACCCGAAAGGUCAUAGGUUCGACUCCUAUUACCGCUACUAAAAUUUAAUGUGGGCCAUUAGCUCAGUUGGUUAGAGCGCCCGGCUCAUAACCGGUAGGUCUGGGGUUCGAGUCCCUGAUGGCCCACCACAUUAAAUUAACUUAUGGUGGGUAUAGCUCAGUUGGUUAGAGCGCCAGAUUGUGGCUCUGGAGGUCGUGAGUUCGACUCUCAUUAUCCACCCCAACUUAUAUGGUCUAUUAGCUCAGUCGGUAGAGCACCUGACUUUUAAUCAGGGUGUCCCGCGUUCGAGUCGCGGAUAGAUCACCAAAAAGGCGGCGACAUAGCCAAGUGGUAAGGCAGUGGACUGCAACUCCUUGAUCCCCAGUUCGAAUCUGGGUGUCGCCUCCAAUAAAAUGCGCUCAUAGCUCAACUGGAUAGAGUGUCUGACUACGAAUCAGAAGGUUAGGGGUUCGAGUCCCUUUGGGCGCACCAUAUGAAUAGCGAGGGAUUAUAGCUCAGCUGGGAGAGCACCUGCCUUACAAGCAGGGGGUCACAGGUUCGAGCCCUGUUAAUCCCACCAGUGCAAACCUCUAGUAAAACUACUAGAGGUUUUAUUUUUGAUUGAAAAAGUUUUUAUAUUUAGGAGGUAAAAAAUUUGUAUAUAGUAAUAGGAAAUGAAAUAGUUGAUAGUGAAGAACUUAAAAUAAUUAUAGAUAAAAAUAGUGAAUUUAAAGUUGAAAAAGAUUUAAGUAAAAGCACAAAAAGAGAAGAUGUAAUAGCAUAUCAGUUAAGUAUAGAUUUAAAUUACCUAGAUUCUCUUAUAAAUGAGCAAUGUAAUUUAGCCAGUCUAUCUGAUGAAGAGAAAUUUGAUGAAUAUAUGACUUUGUCUGAUGAACUUGCACUGGAUUUAGAAGAGUUAAUGCCAAAAUAUACAAUAAUAAAUGCUAGAGCAUAUAAAUUAGACAAGGUAGAUGGAAUUGUAAAAAUAAUACUAGCUGUAGCGUAUGCAGAUUUAGGGCACUUAAAACUUUCUGAUGUAGUAAAGAGGCUAUCUAGACAAGUAGAUUAGGAUAUGAAUAUGAACUAUAUUAAAAAAAUGUAUAAAAUCUUACGUAAAGAUGAAAAUAAUUAUGUAAACAUAGAAAAAAACAGUAUAAAAUCAAGUCAAUUGUAGAAAUUUUCACAUAAAUUCAUCUGAAAUUCUGUAAAAAAUGCCUUAAUUUUAAUGAGGUAAAUCGAGUUUACACAGUCUAAAAAUUACUUAUAUUUAUAAAUUUAUCUUAUUAAUUAAGGAACUUUCUUAAACAUCUUCAAAAAUAAAGUAUUUUAGUCUAUAAUCUUUAAUAUUACACAAACAAUAAAGGAGAAGAAUAGAGUAUGCUUAAAAAGUUUAAUAAAAUACUAGUGGCUAAUAGAGGCGAAAUAGCUAUAAGAAUAUUUAGAGCCUGUUCAGAAUUGGGGAUAAAAAGUGUUGGUAUAUACAGUAAGGAAGAUAAGUAUGGAUUGUUUAGAACAAAAGCGGAUGAAUCAUAUUUGAUAGGAGAAGGUAAAGGGCCAAUAGAUGCAUAUUUAGAUAUGGAUGGAAUAAUAGACCUAGCAAAGAGAAAAAAAGUUGAUGCUAUACAUCCAGGAUAUGGUUUUCUAGCGGAGAAUGCAGAAUUUGCUCGUAAAUGUGAAGAGAAUGGAAUUACUUUUAUAGGACCAUCAUCUAAGGUAAUGAAUAUGAUGGGGGAUAAGAUUAACUCUAAAAAAAUCGCAAAAGAAGUUAAUGUUCAAACUAUACCAGGAGUAGAAAAAGCAAUAAGAAGUACUGAAGAAGCAAAGGAAGUUGCAAACAAAAUAGGAUAUCCUGUUAUGAUAAAAGCAUCUAAUGGCGGUGGCGGUAGAGGUAUGAGAAUUGUACAUCGCGAAGAAGACUUAGAGCUUGAAUAUGAAACUGCUUGUAGUGAAUCAAGAAAAGCUUUUGGAGAAGAUAUUAUAUUUAUAGAAAAAUAUAUAGCUGAUCCAAAACAUAUAGAAGUUCAAAUAUUAGGUGAUAAUUAUGGAAAUAUAGUUCACUUAUAUGAAAGAGAUUGUUCAGUUCAAAGAAGACAUCAAAAAAUAAUAGAAUAUGCACCAGCUUUUUCGUUAGAUGAUAAAGUAAGAAAAGAGAUAUGUGAAGAUGCAGUUAAGUUAUCAAAACAUGUGGGUUAUUCUAAUGCGGGAACAUUAGAAUUUUUAGUAGAUGCAAAUGGUGGGCAUUAUUUUAUAGAGAUGAACACAAGAGUACAGGUUGAACAUACUGUAACAGAGAUGGUUACAGGAAUAGAUAUAGUUCAAAGUCAAAUACUAAUAGCCCAAGGUUACAGCUUAGAUAGUGAAGAAAUUAAUAUAAAAUCACAAGAUGAUGUGGAAAUAAGAGGUUACUC